UCGAGGAUCUUCGGCAAUGGGCGCAAGCCUGACCGAGCGACGCCGCGUGUGCGACGAAGGCCUUCGGGUUGUAAAGCACUGUCGAGGGGGAGAAAAGCCGCAAGGCGUGAUCUAUCCCUGGAGGAAGCACGGGCUAAGUUCGUGCCAGCAGCCGCGGUAAGACGAACCGUGCGAACGUUGUUCGGAAUCACUGGGCUUAAAGGGCGCGUAGGCGGGCGGCCGCGUCCGGGGUGAAAUCCCACGGCUCAACCGUGGAACGGCCUCGGAUACGGGCGGCCUCGAGGGGGGUAGGGGCAUCUGGAACUGUGAGUGGAGCGGUGAAAUGCGUUGAUAUUCACAGGAACUCCGGUGGCGAAGGCGAGGUGCUGGACCCCAUCUGACGCUGAGGCGCGAAAGCCAGGGGAGCGAACGG
This 412-nucleotide ribosomal RNA is filed under the name uncultured bacterium. RNAcentral describes it as "bacterial SSU rRNA". It matches the Rfam family "Bacterial small subunit ribosomal RNA", at positions 355 to 775 of the family's 1533-position model. The record is from RNAcentral.